This 2204-nucleotide unclassified non-coding RNA is filed under the name Harpegnathos saltator (Jerdon's jumping ant). RNAcentral's name for it is "hrp65 protein, transcript variant X3". Lineage: Eukaryota; Metazoa; Arthropoda; Insecta; Hymenoptera; Formicidae. The record is from RNAcentral.
CGUUCUUUCCGCCGUUGGACGCCAUAGUGAGCGUUUGGGAGGACGAACAGAGAGACUAGAGGGAAUUCAGCGGUGGAAAACUAUCGUCGCGUUCAUUGUACUUAGAGCGCGUGUUUCGACGUCGGAUUGAACAAACGAUGGCUGGAACGGAGACAUCGAAUGUAAAAACGGAAACGCCGAAUACUCCCGCCGAGAAUAGUAAUGAGAAUCCACGCGAACGGAAUCCACCGGGCGGCGGCGGAGGAAAUCGCGGGCCUCGCGGCCGAAAAGGAGGCACGCGUUUCUCGGGCGGCCGCGGUGGCGGAAUGGGUGGAGGCGGUGGCGGCGGCGGCGGCGGCGGUGGAGGUGGUGGCGGCGGCGGAGGCAGAAAUAAUGAAGCGAUGAAGAUAAAUGAUUCCAUGGAUGGAGGUAUGGACAACCCAAUGUCAGAAAGUAUGGGUGGGAUGGGUGGAAUGGGUGGGAUGGGUGGGAUGGGUGGUGGCGGCGGCAUGGGUGGCGGCGGCAUGGGUGGUGGCGGCAUGGGUGGUGGAGGCGGCAUGGGUAUGGGUCGUGGCGGUGGAAUGCGAGGAGGUGGAAGAGGCGGACGUGGUGGUGGAGACAGAAACAUGGGUGAUAGAAACAGAUCGCAAGAUGAUCGACUGAUGGAGCGUAUUAUGGCUAUCAGUGGACCCACUCAUGAGCUUCCUCCUCAAGAAAUGACAGAAAAGAAAUUUAGCGGCAGAAAUCGUUUGUACAUUGGAAACUUGACAAAUGACGUAACAGAAGAAGAAAUACAGACUAUGUUCCGGAAAUAUGGAGAAAUAUCUGAACUGUUUGUGAAUAAAGAGAAGAGUUUUGCUUUUCUCAGAAUGGAUUAUAGAAUAAAUGCAGAGAAAGCAAAGCAUGAAUUAGAUGGUACAGUGCGCAAAGGUCGUGCAUUAAAAGUACGUUUUGCUCCUCACUCAUCGACAAUCAAGAUCAAGAAUCUUACACCUUGGAUAUCCAAUGAGCUUCUCGAGAAAGCUUUUAGUGUAUUCGGCGAGGUCGAACGUGCAAUAGUUAUUGUUGACGAUAGAGGUAAAAGCACUGGCGAAGGAGUAGUCGAAUAUUGCCGAAAACCGUCGGCUCAGUUAGCUCUGAGGAAAUGUACAGAAGGUUGCUACUUCCUCACGGCCUCGCUUCGGCCAGUAGUUGUGGAGCCGUUUGAGCAACAAGAUGACGUAGACGGUUAUCCGGAUAAAAAUCUACCACGCAAAAAUCCAGAAUUCUUUAAGGCUCGUGACAUUGGGCCACGAUUCGCGCAAUUGGGUAGUUUUGAGCACGAAUAUGGUACACGAUGGAAGCAAUUACACGAAUUGUACAAGCAAAAGGAAGAAGCGCUCAAACGAGAAAUGGCGAUGGAGGAAGAAAAACUUGAGGCCCAAAUGGAAUUUGCUAGAUACGAACAUGAGACGGAACUUUUGAGAGAACAAUUGCGUAUGCGUGAAGCGGACCGCGAAAGGCAAAAGAGAGAAUGGGAGAUGAAAGAGCGACAAGCCGAAGAACAAAGAACUCGCGAAGAAGAAUUAAGACGACGCCAGCAGGAGGAAAUGGCGAUACGCAUCAGAAGACAAGAAGAGGAACUGCACAGACGUCAACAGGAAAAUAAUUUGUUUAUGCAGGAACAAGCUAUCCGUAGUAGUGGCGGUGGUCUCGGCGGCGGAAAAAAUUACGAUUCCGUUAGUAACAAUGAUCGUGAUGGAUAUGGUCAACCUGACGGUGGAAGCGGCAUACCAGUGAUGAUAUCGCCAGCUGGUUGAACGCAAACAGAAACAGAAAUUUUUAGUCUGAUGCCUUGAAAGGACCAGUCCAUACUUGACAUCAUUACAUGAAGUAACUGCCUUAUGUGCCUAAGGUCUAUAAUGGAAAUGGAGAUAGAGGAAUGACCAAACGGAUGUGACAUAGGCCAUCAAUUUUACAUUAAAGAUGCAUAAAGGAUAUGAAGAAAUGAUAAUUGGUAUAAUAUGCAUAAAGGAUAUGAAGAAAUGAUAAUUGGUAUAAUAUAAAUUAUCGACUUUAUUUUAAAGAAAUCUUGGGAUACCCUGUACAAGGACGUCAAAUUGACAGGUCAAAUUGACAGGGAGCAUUUCGCGCAGUGAUCAGGAGCAAAGAUGACUUGCUGAAUUAUUCACAACUAUUAUUUUUCCCUUUUUAUGUUUCAAUAAAUAUGCAGUUCUCUUGUUAAU